AGCAAGUCAUCUUUGGCCAAGGCAGGCAGGCAGCGUAGCUACUAGCUAGCCAAGCACCAACCCCAUUUCUCCAACGCACACGAGCUCCAUUUCUUUCCUCGGUUCGUGUCAUCGUGUCCAGUACAGAAGCAGAGCAUCGUCGUCCUACGUCCUCGGCAUGGGUUCUCCUACCCGCACUCGCCCAAGCAGCAGCAGCAACAAGAGGGGCGGCGCUCCGUCGUCGCGGCUCGUGUGGGCGUGCCUCGCCGUGCUGCUGCUGGUCCUGCUCCGCUGCUCGCCGUGCCAAGGCCGCAAGCUGCCGGAGGCGGAGCAGAGCGGCGAGGUGAUGCACUUCGAAGGUGGGCUGCUGCUCAAAGUGUCUCCGAGCCCUGGCGGCGGCAAGGUGGCAUCGGUGGCGGCGCCGCCGAGAGGCUUCUCGAGGGCCGCCCGGUCGAUGCGGUCCGUGCCCAGCCCCGGCGUCGGGCAUUAACUGGGAUUGCUUGGUCCUUCGCCGGUUCAAGUUUUGCAUCUUUGCAGUGCUCUCUGCCGCUGCGUCGUCGUCGUCGUCUUCGUCGCUUUGUUCAUCGGCUUGAACCAUUUCACUGUGUGUAUAGGGCGUGUAUGAAUGAAUGGUCCUUCGAACGGGGAGGGAAGGGUCUCGCGUGUGUU
RNAcentral lists this ribosomal RNA (648 nucleotides) under Triticum aestivum (bread wheat). RNAcentral's name for it is "partial small subunit ribosomal RNA". Lineage: Eukaryota; Viridiplantae; Streptophyta; Magnoliopsida; Poales; Poaceae. The record is from RNAcentral.